AGCGAACGCUGGCGGCAUGCCUUACACAUGCAAGUCGAACGGCAGCACGGGAGCUUGCUCCUGGUGGCGAGUGGCGAACGGGUGAGUAACAUAUCGGAACGUACCCAGUCGUGGGGGAUAACUAUCCGAAAGGAUAGCUAAUACCGCAUACGUCCUGAGGGAGAAAGCGGGGGAUCGCAAGACCUCGCGCGAUUGGAGCGGCCGAUAUCGGAUUAGCUAGUUGGUGGGUAAAGGCUCACCAAGGCGACGAUCCGUAGCGGGUCUGAGAGGACGACCAGCCACACUGGAACUGAGACACGGUCCAGACUCCUACGGGAGGCAGCAGUGGGGAAUUUUGGACAAUGGGGGGCAACCCUGAUCCAGCAAUGCCGCGUGAGUGAAGAAGGCCUUCGGGUUGUAAAGCUCUUUGUCAGGGAAGAAACGGUUGUGGCUAAUAUCCAUGGCUAAUGACGGUACCUGAAGAAUAAGACACCGGCUAACUACGUGCCAGCAGCCGCGGUAAU
This 503-nucleotide ribosomal RNA is filed under the name uncultured bacterium. Its description in RNAcentral is "bacterial SSU rRNA". It matches the Rfam family "Bacterial small subunit ribosomal RNA", at positions 29 to 524 of the family's 1533-position model. The record is from RNAcentral.